Molecule: ribosomal RNA, 468 nt
Filed under: uncultured bacterium
Lineage: Bacteria
Description: partial 16S ribosomal RNA
Rfam family: Bacterial small subunit ribosomal RNA
Source: RNAcentral
GACGCGCGCUGAGGGGGUGCUUGGCGCAUGCAAGUCGAGCGGAAGCACCCUUCUUUUUUAGGGUGCUCGGGGGGCGAACGGGUGAGUAACACGUGGGUAGCCUGCCCGGGACUUUGGGAUAACUUCAGCAAACUGGGGCUAAUACCAGGUAUCAGCUCCUGCUGCAUUGUGCAGUUUUGAAAUUUUCGGCGGGGGGGGUUGUCCUCGCGGCGUAUCAGUUUGGGGGUAGGGUAGUGGCUUACCAAGGGUGUGACGGCUAGCCGGCCGGAGAGGGUGACCGGCCACAGUGGGACUGAGCUACGGGCUAGACUCCUACGGGAGGCAGCAGUGGGGAAUAUUGCACGAUGGGCGGACGCAUGAUGCAGAAACGGCGGGUGCGGGAUGACGGCCCUCGGGUUGUGACCCGACUUCGCGUGUGACGAAGGGUGAGUGACGGUAAUGGGUAAAGAAGCACCGGCUCACAAAGUG